Molecule: long non-coding RNA, 693 nt
Organism: Zingiber officinale
Lineage: Eukaryota; Viridiplantae; Streptophyta; Magnoliopsida; Zingiberales; Zingiberaceae
Exons: 3
Source: RefSeq, a predicted model, not a curated record
UUUCCUCGCAGAAAACCACCUCCCCCGCGCGCCCGACGCCCUCCUCCUUGUCCUAACCGCCGGCCGCGGCGGUUUCUCCUCCCUCCCUCGCGUAUAAGCCUCGGCCAUUACAUCUUCUUCUUCCUUCCUGAGCGCGCACGCCCUUCUCUUCAUCUUCUGCCUGACACCGUCUGUGCCCUAGCCAGCCCGACGCCACUGCCGGCACCGAUUCCCCAGCGUCGGCCGCCGGCCCUCUGUGCCCUAGCAUCUCCACCGACGCCGAGCAGUGCUGGCCUUCUCUCCUCUUCCUCCAUCCCGAGUUUCCCCAGCCGAUUCUUCUCGGACGUCCUCUGCCCUAGAUUUGGGCCACAGCCACCGUCACUUUGCCCUAGCCGACGCCACUUCUACUCAGCCCUAGCGCCGGCGCAUCACUGUUGGUGUUUGUUUCCGGCCAGGAGAAAGGUGUCAGUGGCCUAGUUUUGGUUUCACAACCGCUGUUGCAUCCCUGGACAGUGCUGACGACUACUGGCUUUCCGAUCCGAGGUGCCACCUCUACGUGAAUUGGGCGUCAUCCAGGAGUAAAGGUUUGGUAUCAACGGGAUUAAGCUGUUGUUGGAGCUGAGGAAUCUGAUCAUUAUUCAUACACUUAGGACUGUGAUUCGGGAUGGGCAUCUCGACAUCAGAUUGAUUCGAUUCGAUUUAUUGGAGGCGGGU